GCAUCCUACGCACUGUCCGACUUGGUGUUCGUUUGCGGUCGCAAAUUCUUACUCCUCUGGCGGCGGCGGAGCAACGGAGAGGGCGAGGGAUAAGAGAGAGGCUUACGGCAGCAGCCAUGAAGCGAAGGGGGAAGGGCGAGAGGCCCAAAUCUGAUGCGUUCCCCGCUUCCCUCUCCAAGCGCCUUCGACGGCCGCCUCCGACCGAAGCGGCUGAAGGAGAGCCCGCCGAGGCAACUGCCGCCGCCUCGCCCUCCGUCGUCCUGGUCACCGGCCUCCCCGCUGACUGCACCGUGCUGGAACUGAAGUCCCGCCUGGAGAUGUACGGCCCCAUCUCCCGCACCCGCAUCGACGUCGACGGCCGCGGCUUCGUCACCUUCCGCUCCGACCACGCCGCUGAGGCCGCCAUCUCUGCCUCCCUCGACCCGGCCUUCGGUGUCACCGUUCGAUCCAAAAAGGUACUGGUAGUUCGGGCGAGUGAUCCGAUACCAGCAAAGAUGGGAGCAGGGAUUUCUUCCACCUCGAGGCUUCUUCGUGCAGAAAUACCCCUGAGCCGACAUGGUCCAAGUAAAGAGAAGCUCGAUGCAGGUGCGACUGCAGAGAGGAGCAAAAGCGGACCAGAGGUUUCCCACGAUGGUCGGGAAAUCAUCGCUUACGAUGAUCUAUUUUGACAUCCACUUGGAUUAACCGUGUGAGGUUCCAUCUGAAUGUUAUGUUGUGAUGUAUCAAAUGACUGGCCGUAUGUUUGAGAUUAUUGGCCUAUUUAAUUUAGGUCAUCAUCAAUAUCAUCAUGACCAGCACUAUCACCAAUAUCACUUGGAACCUAUUUUAAAUGAUCCUUUUUGUGUUUGCAGAUCAUAUGGGAAUUGAGGUGAGGUUACUGACAAAUAAUGACUGAUCAUAUCGAAUGUCUUUUUUGUUCCACUCUAUGAAAGCGUAUCUUUUGUUUAA
Musa acuminata subsp. malaccensis (wild Malaysian banana) is the source of this 948-nucleotide non-coding RNA. Lineage: Eukaryota; Viridiplantae; Streptophyta; Magnoliopsida; Zingiberales; Musaceae. The record is from RefSeq and is a predicted model, not a curated record.